RNAcentral lists this ribosomal RNA (334 nucleotides) under uncultured Bacillota bacterium. Its description in RNAcentral is "bacterial SSU rRNA". It matches the Rfam family "Bacterial small subunit ribosomal RNA", at positions 28 to 351 of the family's 1533-position model. The record is from RNAcentral. Lineage: Bacteria; Bacillati; Bacillota.
GAUGAACGCUGGCGGCGUGCCUAACACAUGCAAGUCGAGCGAAGAUUACGGAAGUAGAAAUGCGGAAGUGAUUUUAGCGGCGGACGGGUGAGUAACACGUGAGCAAUCUGCCUUUAGCAGGGGAAUAACAUUGUGAAAACAGUGCUAAUACCGCAUAACGUCCGGGAGAGGCAUCUCUUCGGGACCAAAGGAGCAAUCCGGCCAAAGAUGAGCUCGCGUCCGAUUAGCUGGUUGGUGAGGUAACGGCCCACCAAGGCGACGAUCGGUAGCCGAACUGAGAGGUUGAUCGGCCACAUUGGGACUGAGACACGGCCCAGACUCCUACGGGAGGCAG